AAAAGGUUAAAAAAAAUGUCACACACUGUCAGGCACCCUGGAGAACGGAGACAGCCACGCUGCUGAUUCAGAUUUAUAAAUGAGGAGAUCUCAGCUCCAUCACUGUGACAGAACUUUACAGGAAGAGCCCAACGGGGGUGAGACGCAAAGUCGGGGAGAAAACUUGAAAUGUCAAUUCGUGGAGCAAGUUAUAUUGGCAUGUAAGUGUUACACAGUUAACAUGAAGAAUUUAUUAGUAAUGAUAUCAGCAGAACUCCAAGACGAGCCAAGCUAAAGGAGCCUACCUCAUCUCAAGCAUUUCUCCGACGAGGAUAAUUUCACCGAUAUUUAUUGUCAAGCUAUUCAUCUGAUGUAUUUCUUACAGCCGGCAUACCAAGAGAUUUUAGGGAAUACAUCAAAGAGGGCUGUGGGGGUGGACCGCACAUUGUGUUCUCUUAACAAUAGUUGGCAGCCGGCAGCAUUCCUUUCCUCUGCGCUGACUCUGACCUGCUCCAAGGUUAAAAUAAGGAAUAUGUGAUCCAGUGCUCGCUUCACUUUGAAAAUAUGGAUUUCUCACAGUCAAUGAAACCUGUGUGCCCCUUGACUGUGUAAACAGCAAUGAGUUGGCUACUGAGAAAAUCAAGAGAGACAAGCUAGUGAUACUCUAGUGUCUCUAGAGAGCAUAUUAGCAUCAGGCCUCAAAUACUUUGAUCAAGGAAUCUCCUUCUAGAGUGUAAGCACUGCAGGGUUCUGUCUCUCUCUCUCUUCUGUCCGUUGUCUCAAAGGUCUGUGCACAGUAUUAGAUACUAGUAAGUGAUCCUUAGUGGAGGAGCCAGCUGAAUGGUGUAGAAACACCCCUCCCCCAUCUGGGUAAAAUACAUACAUACAUACACACACACACACACACACACACACAUAUAUUUUGCUUAGUCAAUAGUGAUGAAUGGUAGGAAAAGUCAUUGAGCAAAACUCAGAAUCAAAGUAAAACCCAGGACACCUAGGCCAUGCUGCCGCGGGCAGAAAGUAAGAACUGUCAAAAAUGCAAAGAGAUGGCACAGGUGUUCAAUGGUACAGGAUUUGCUCAGCAUGCACAAGGCCCUAGGUUCAGUGAAAAAUCAAUCAAUAAAUAAGCAAAUAAAAGUGCAGACUGGAACAUUUGUGAAAUGAGGUUAUCACUGGCCACACACACACACACACACACACACUACAUUGUGGGUCAUAAAGCAAUUAAAAGUUGAUAUGAGCACAAUAUAUCUGUUGCAGUAAGAAUUAAAGAGUAAUUGAAAUACUAAGAUAAUUUCAAACAGAGGCACAAACUCACAGUACUUGUUUUGAAAUGUUUCUUGUUGAAGAACAUGCAUUUAAAAUCAAAUUUUGAAGAAGGAAGCCAGCUGUAAUGGCACAUAUCAUUAACCCCAGCGCUCAGGAGACAGAGGCAGGCAGAUCCCUUAGUUCAAGCUCAGCCUGAUCUAUAGAACAAAUUUCAGUACAACAUGGGCUACACAGAGAAACCCUGUCUCUACAAAAUGAAACAGAACAAAACAUUUU
Alexandromys fortis (reed vole) is the source of this 1527-nucleotide long non-coding RNA. RefSeq lists it as uncharacterized. The record is from RefSeq and is a predicted model, not a curated record. The transcript is spliced from 3 exons. NCBI's taxonomy places the organism in Eukaryota, Metazoa, Chordata, Mammalia, Rodentia, Cricetidae.